UAGCUAGUUGGUAGGGUAAAGGCCUACCAAGGCGACGAUCGGUAGCUGGUCUGAGAGGAUGGCCAGCCACACUGGAACUGAGACACGGUCCAGACUCCUACGGGAGGCAGCAGUGGGGAAUAUUGGACAAUGGGGGCAACCCUGGUCCAGCAAUGCCGCGUGUGUGAAGAAGGCCUGAGGGUUGUAAAGCACUUUCAGUGGGGAGGAGGGUUGAUUGGUUAAGAGCUGGUUAAUUGGACGUUACCCACAGAAGAAGCACCGGCUAACUCCGUGCCAGCAGCCGCGGUAAUACGGAGGGUGCGAGCGUUAAUCGGAAUUACUGGGCGUAAAGGGUGCGUAGGUGGUUGUAUAAGUUAUCUGUGAAAUUCCUGGGCUUAACCUGGGGUGGUCAGAUAAGACUGUAUGACUCGAGUAUGGGAGAGGGUAGUGGAAUUUCCGGUGUAGCGGUGAAAUGCGUAGAGAUCGGAAGGAACACCAGUGGCGAAGGCGGCUACCUGGCCUAAUACUGACACUGAGGCACGAAAGCGUGGGGAGCAAACAGGAUUAGAUACCCUGGUAGUCCACGCUGUAAACGAUGUCAACUAGCUGUUGGUUAUAUGAAUAUAAUUAGUGGCGC
RNAcentral lists this ribosomal RNA (616 nucleotides) under uncultured Legionella sp. Its description in RNAcentral is "bacterial SSU rRNA". It matches the Rfam family "Bacterial small subunit ribosomal RNA", at positions 242 to 849 of the family's 1533-position model. The record is from RNAcentral. Lineage: Bacteria; Pseudomonadati; Pseudomonadota; Gammaproteobacteria; Legionellales; Legionellaceae.